This 484-nucleotide ribosomal RNA is filed under the name uncultured bacterium. RNAcentral describes it as "partial 16S ribosomal RNA". It matches the Rfam family "Bacterial small subunit ribosomal RNA", at positions 30 to 507 of the family's 1533-position model. The record is from RNAcentral.
AUUGAACGCUGGCGGCAGGCCUAACACAUGCAAGUCGAGCGGAUGAAGGGAGCUUGCUCCUGGAUUCAGCGGCGGACGGGUGAGUAAUGCCUAGGAAUCUGCCUGGUAGUGGGGGAUAACGUCCGGAAACGGGCGCUAAUACCGCAUACGUCCUGAGGGAGAAAGUGGGGGAUCUUCGGACCUCACGCUCUCAGAUGAGCCUAGGUCGGAGUAGCUAGUUGGUGGGGUAAAGGCCUACCAAGGCGACGAUCCGUAACUGGUCUGAGAGGAUGAUCAGUCACACUGGAACUGAGACACGGUCCAGACUCCUACGGGAGGCAGCAGUGGGGAAUAUUGGACAAUGGGCGAAAGCCUGAUCCAGCCAUGCCGCGUGUGUGAAGAAGGUCUUCGGAUUGUAAAGCACUUUAAGUUGGGAGGAAGGGCAGUAAGUUAAUACCUUGCUGUUUUGACGGUACCAACAGAAUAAGCACCGGCUAACUUCGUG